Non-coding RNA from Pelobates cultripes (western spadefoot toad), 1431 nucleotides. NCBI's taxonomy places the organism in Eukaryota, Metazoa, Chordata, Amphibia, Anura, Pelobatidae. The record is from the annotation of a GenBank genome assembly.
GGUGAAGGACAUUUAGGCUAUGUUCCAAGCAGACAUGGCGCUAGUAAGGGCAGACGUAGCCACACUCACCAAUAAAGUGGCAAAUGUGGAAGAGGGCCUGAGGGACACUAAACUGGCGCAAAGUGCCACGGACGCGGCGCUGAACUUACUCCGCAAGCAAUACGCAGACCAACAAACCCAGCUGGCUGGCAUGGAAGACCGGUACAAGGCAAGAAACCUGCGGGUCCGUGGAGUGCCGGAGACACUCACCGGCUCGGAAUUGCCGCACUAUUGCCGACGGCUGAUAGCCACUUUACUUACGCCAAGACAAGCUAAGUUGAUCACGAUAGACUCUUGUUUCAGACUCACCAGGGCGGCCGCCACACCACGCGAAGGAGCUGGUGACGUACUGAUUAAAUUUAUGCGGGACUCUGACAGGGGCAUGAUUAUGGGGGCUUCAAGAGGCUCCCCCACGGUGGCGUUUGAAGGGGCACAACUAACGUUCUAUAAAGACUUCUCCAGACACACCAUGAUGUGGAGGAAGUCCUUUCGCCCAGUCACCCAGCUACUCCGGGAACAAGCCAUCCCCUACAAAUGGGGCCCACACCGACUACAGGCAGAAAAGGCGGGCGAAACACAUAAGCUGUCUCACGCAUCUGAUAUACCAGCCUUCCUGCAGGCACUCGGCCUUCCAGCGCUAACGACACAGCAGUUGACCCAUCCAACAUGGACUGUAGCGGAGAUUACCCCCUUCGUGCCUAGAAGAGAGGCUCAGAAAACCUCUGCCCUACAAACCUGAAGCAGCAGCAGAGCAGGGCCCACACGCCCUUAACCUGUUGCGCCUGACAAGGGACAUACCUGAUCCGUUCCACGUUUGUUCUUGGUUAUACCCAAUACUGAUGCUGUUGGUUAUUGUUUUUUAUUUCUGUUUUUAUUCUCCCUUUUCUCUCCACCAAAUGCUGCUUCUUAACAUUAUGCUCUUCCCAAACCCGCACAAUACUGGCUCCGUAAGCUUUCAUAAUAAUCACACGUAUUGAGCCACUUUCACCCCCCCCCCUCCUAACAACCAGAGUGCGUUACACAGCUCGAAAUAUACCGCACACUACCUGCUGCACUCUCAGCUAGCGACUUAGUUGACCACACCCAGCUGAGACACACAUACCUUCCCUAACUCACCUAACUAAGGUCCCACGCUCAACACUAGCACAUUCAAAGGUGCCUUGAUACCAACUACAAGUUAUACCUUGACACAAGCAUGCAGGCACCUAACGCUACACAAUGCCUUUAAUACACAUUAUUUAAAAAUAAAAACGAGGCUGACAAGUUUCGGAGAUGUUGUAUGGUAAACUGUGAUACCCCAUCCUGUAUGACUUUUAUUGUCUCCCUUUCUUUAUUCUGUACCCAUAAAGUCUAUGCCUCAAUAAAAGAAAGAAUGAAAAAAAAAAAAAAGAA